Molecule: ribosomal RNA, 253 nt
Filed under: uncultured bacterium
Lineage: Bacteria
Description: partial 16S ribosomal RNA
Rfam family: Bacterial small subunit ribosomal RNA
Source: RNAcentral
UACGUAGGGUGCAAGCGUUGCCCGGAUUUAUUGGGCGUAAAGGGCGCGUAGGCGGCUCGGCACGUCCGUUGUGAAAUCGCCCGGCUCAACUGGGCGGGGUCAGCGGAUACGGCCGAGCUUGAGCAAGCUAGGGGGCAAUGGAAUUCCCGGUGUAGUGGUGGAAUGCGUAGAUAUCGGGAGGAACACCAGUGGCGAAGGCGACUACCUGGCCUGUUCUUGACGCUGAGGCGCGAAAGCUAGGGGAGCAAACGGG